UCCUACGGGAGGCAGCAGUGGGGAAUAUUGCACAAUGGGCGCAAGCCUGAUGCAGCCAUGCCGCGUGUAUGAAGAAGGCCUUCGGGUUGUAAAGUACUUUCAGCGAGGAGGAAGGCGUUAAGGUUAAUAACCUGGCGAUGACGUACUCGCAGAA
This 154-nucleotide ribosomal RNA is filed under the name Enterobacter sp. NC354. RNAcentral's name for it is "partial 16S ribosomal RNA". It matches the Rfam family "Bacterial small subunit ribosomal RNA", at positions 337 to 486 of the family's 1533-position model. The record is from RNAcentral. Lineage: Bacteria; Pseudomonadati; Pseudomonadota; Gammaproteobacteria; Enterobacterales; Enterobacteriaceae.